CGGAAAAGCCAGGACAUUUUUUAAUAUAACUCUGAUUGUAUUCGUCUGAAAGAUGAGAGUCAUAUACAUCUAGAAUAGCUUGAGGGCUAGUAAUUUAUG
Molecule: long non-coding RNA, 99 nt
Organism: Sinocyclocheilus anshuiensis
Lineage: Eukaryota; Metazoa; Chordata; Actinopteri; Cypriniformes; Cyprinidae
Exons: 3
Source: RefSeq, a predicted model, not a curated record